UACAGAGGUCUCAAGCGUUGUUCGGAUUUACUGGGCGUAAAGGGCGCGUAGGCGGCGCGGUAAGUCACUUGUGAAAUCUCUGAGCUUAACUCAGAACGGCCAAGUGAUACUGCAGUGCUAGAGUGUGGAAGGGGCAAUCGGAAUUCUUGGUGUAGCGGUGAAAUGCGUAGAUAUCAAGAGGAACACCUGAGGUGAAGACGGGUUGCUGGGCCAACACUGACGCUGAGGCGCGAAAGCCAGGGGAGCAAACGGG
RNAcentral lists this ribosomal RNA (253 nucleotides) under uncultured bacterium. Its description in RNAcentral is "partial 16S ribosomal RNA". It matches the Rfam family "Bacterial small subunit ribosomal RNA", at positions 524 to 776 of the family's 1533-position model. The record is from RNAcentral.